CGGACGGGUGAGUAAUGCUUGGGAAUCUAGCUUAUGGAGGGGGGUAACUACGGGAAACUGUAGCUAAUACCGCGUAAUAUCGAAAGAUUAAAGUGUGGGACCUUCGGGCCACAUGCCAUAGGAUGAGCCCAAGUGGGAUUAGGUAGUUGGUGAGGUAAAGGCUCACCAAGCCGACGACCUCUAGCUGGUCUGAGAGGAUGACCAGCCACACUGGGACUGAGACACGGCCCAG
RNAcentral lists this ribosomal RNA (232 nucleotides) under uncultured bacterium. RNAcentral's name for it is "partial 16S ribosomal RNA". It matches the Rfam family "Bacterial small subunit ribosomal RNA", at positions 99 to 334 of the family's 1533-position model. The record is from RNAcentral.